GACGAACGCUGGCGGCGUGCUUAACACAUGCAAGUCGAACGGAAAGGCCCUGCUUUUGUGGGGUGCUCGAGUGGCGAACGGGUGAGUAACACGUGAGUAACCUGCCCUUGACUUUGGGAUAACUUCAGGAAACUGGGGCUAAUACCGGAUAGGAGCUCCUGCUGGAUGGUGGGGGUUGGAAAGUUUCGGCGGUUGGGGAUGGACUCGCGGCUUAUCAGCUUGUUGGUGGGGUAGUGGCUUACCAAGGCUUUGACGGGUAGCCGGCCUGAGAGGGUGACCGGCCACAUUGGGACUGAGAUACGGCCCAGACUCCUACGGGAGGCAGCAGUGGGGAAUAUUGCACAAUGGGCGGAAGCCUGAUGCAGCAACGCCGCGUGCGGGAUGACGGCCUUCGGGUUGUAAACCGCUUUCGCCUGUGACGAAGCGUGAGUGACGGUAAUGGGUAAAGAAGCACCGGCUAACUACGUG
This 468-nucleotide ribosomal RNA is filed under the name uncultured bacterium. Its description in RNAcentral is "partial 16S ribosomal RNA". It matches the Rfam family "Bacterial small subunit ribosomal RNA", at positions 28 to 507 of the family's 1533-position model. The record is from RNAcentral.